UACGAAGGGUGCAAGCGUUACUCGGAAUUACUGGGCGUAAAGCGUGCGCAGGCGGUUUUGUAAGCCCGGUGUGAAAUCCCCGGGCUCAACCUGGGAAUGGCAUUUGGGACUGCAAGGCUGGAGUGCGGCAGAGGAGACUGGAAUUCCUGGUGUAGCAGUGAAAUGCGUAGAUAUCAGGAGGAACACCGAUGGCGAAGGCAGGUCUCUGGGCUGACACUGACGCUCAUGCACGAAAGCGUGGGGAGCAAACAGG
RNAcentral lists this ribosomal RNA (253 nucleotides) under uncultured bacterium. RNAcentral's name for it is "partial 16S ribosomal RNA". It matches the Rfam family "Bacterial small subunit ribosomal RNA", at positions 524 to 776 of the family's 1533-position model. The record is from RNAcentral.